CCGUUUCUGAGUUGGGGCCAGCUCCCCACCCCCAAGGGGCCCCACAUUCCGGGCCAGCAGCCCAGAAAGUCCCUCCCUGCAGGCGGAGACAGCCCCAAGAAGUCGACGCCCCGGUCCCGCCGCUCGGCCACUACCCAGAGGGCUGCCGCCGCCUCUCCAAGUUCUUGUGGCCCCCGCGGUGCGGAGUAUGGGGCGCUGAUGGCCAUGGAGGGCUACUGGCGCUUCCUGGCGCUGCUGGGGUCGGCACUGCUCGUCGGCUUCCUGUCGGUGAUCUUCACCCUCGUCUGGGUCCUCCACUACCGAGAAGGGCUUGGCUGGGACGGGAGCGCACUAGAGUUUAACUGGCACCCGGUGCUCAUGGUCACCGGCUUCGUCUUCAUCCAGGGCAUCGCCAUCAUCGUCUACAGACUGCCAUGGACCUGGAAAUGCAGCAAGCUCCUGAUGAAAUCCAUCCAUGCAGGGUUGAAUGCAGUUGCUGCCAUUCUUGCAGUUAUCUCUGUGGUGGCCGUGUUUGAGAACCACAAUGUUAACAAUAUAGCCAAUAUGUACAGUCUGCACAGCUGGGUUGGACUGAUAGCUGUCAUAUGCUAUUUGUUACAGACAGGGUCUCACUUUGUCACCCAGGCUGGAGUGCAAUGGCACAAUCUUAGCUCACUGCAACCUCCAUCUCCAGGACUCAAGCAAUCCUCCUGCCUCAGCCUCCAGAGUAGCUGGGACCACAGGCGUGCACCACCACGCCCAGCUAAUUUUUUGUAGAGAUGGG
Molecule: small RNA, 763 nt
Filed under: Pongo abelii (Sumatran orangutan)
Lineage: Eukaryota; Metazoa; Chordata; Mammalia; Primates; Hominidae
Description: processed transcript
Source: RNAcentral